GGGUUGUGAGGUUAAGCGACUAAGCGUACACGGUGGAUGCCCUGGCAGUCAGAGGCGAUGAAGGACGUGCUAAUCUGCGAAAAGCGUCGGUAAGGUGAUAUGAACCGUUACAGCCGGCGAUGUCCGAAUGGGGAAACCCAGUGUGAUUCGUCACACUAUCGUUAACUGAAUACAUAGGUUAACGAGGCGAACCGGGGGAACUGAAACAUCUAAGUACCCCGAGGAAAAGAAAUCAACCGAGAUUCCCCCAGUAGCGGCGAGCGAACGGGGAGCAGCCCAGAGUCUGAAUCAGCUUGUGUGUUAGUGGAACGGUCUGGAAAGUCCGACGGUACAGGGUGAUAGUCCCGUACACCAAAAUGCACAGGCUGUGAACUCGAAGAGUAGGGCGGGACACGUGGUAUCCUGUCUGAAUAUGGGGGGACCAUCCUCCAAGGCUAAAUACUCCUGACUGACCGAUAGUGAACCAGUACCGUGAGGGAAAGGCGAAAAGAACCCCGGCGAGGGGAGUGAAAAAGAACCUGAAACCGUGUACGUACAAGCAGUGGGAGCACCUUCGGGUGUGACUGCGUACCUUUUGUAUAAUGGGUCAGCGACUUAUAUUCUGUAGCAAGGUUAACCGUAUAGGGGAGCCGCAGGGAAACCGAGUCUUAACUGGGCGUUAAGUUGCAGGGUAUAGACCCGAAACCCGGUGAUCUAGCCAUGGGCAGGUUGAAGGUUGGGUAACACUAACUGGAGGACCGAACCGACUAAUGUUGAAAAAUUAGCGGAUGACUUGUGGCUGGGGGUGAAAGGCCAAUCAAACCGGGAGAUAGCUGGUUCUCCCCGAAAGCUAUUUAGGUAGCGCCUCGUGAACUCAUCUUCGGGGUAGAGCACUGUUUCGGCUAGGGGGUCAUCCCGACUUACCAACCCGAUGCAAACUACGAAUACCGAAGAAUGUUAUCACGGGAGACACACGGCGGGUGCUAACGUCCGUCGUGAAGAGGGAAACAACCCAGACCGCCAGCUAAGGUCCCAAAGUCAUGGUUAAGUGGGAAACGAUGUGGGAAGGCACAGACAGCCAGGAUGUUGGCUUAGAAGCAGCCAUCAUUUAAAGAAAGCGUAAUAGCUCACUGGUCGAGUCGGCCUGCGCGGAAGAUGUAACGGGGCUAAACCAUGCACCGAAGCUGCGGCAGCGACACUAUGUGUUGUUGGGUAGGGGAGCGUUCUGUAAGCCUGCGAAGGUGUGCUGUGAGGCAUGCUGGAGGUAUCAGAAGUGCGAAUGCUGACAUAAGUAACGAUAAAGCGGGUGAAAAGCCCGCUCGCCGGAAGACCAAGGGUUCCUGUCCAACGUUAAUCGGGGCAGGGUGAGUCGACCCCUAAGGCGAGGCCGAAAGGCGUAGUCGAUGGGAAACAGGUUAAUAUUCCUGUACUUGGUGUUACUGCGAAGGGGGGACGGAGAAGGCUAUGUUAGCCGGGCGACGGUUGUCCCGGUUUAAGCAUGUAGGCUGAUUGUCCAGGCAAAUCCGGAUAAUCAAGGCUGAGGUGUGAUGACGAGGCACUACGGUGCUGAAGUAACAAAUGCCCUGCUUCCAGGAAAAGCCUCUAAGCAUCAGGUAACAUCAAAUCGUACCCCAAACCGACACAGGUGGUCAGGUAGAGAAUACCAAGGCGCUUGAGAGAACUCGGGUGAAGGAACUAGGCAAAAUGGUGCCGUAACUUCGGGAGAAGGCACGCUGGUGUGUAGGUGAAGUCCCUGCGGAUGGAGCUGAGACCAGUCGAAGAUACCAGCUGGCUGCAACUGUUUAUUAAAAACACAGCACUGUGCAAACACGAAAGUGGACGUAUACGGUGUGACGCCUGCCCGGUGCCGGAAGGUUAAUUGAUGGGGUUAUCCGUAAGGAGAAGCUCUUGAUCGAAGCCCCGGUAAACGGCGGCCGUAACUAUAACGGUCCUAAGGUAGCGAAAUUCCUUGUCGGGUAAGUUCCGACCUGCACGAAUGGCGUAAUGAUGGCCAGGCUGUCUCCACCCGAGACUCAGUGAAAUUGAACUCGCUGUGAAGAUGCAGUGUACCCGCGGCAAGACGGAAAGACCCCGUGAACCUUUACUAUAGCUUGACACUGAACAUUGAGCCUUGAUGUGUAGGAUAGGUGGGAGGCUUUGAAGCGUGGACGCCAGUCUGCGUGGAGCCAACCUUGAAAUACCACCCUUUAAUGUUUGAUGUUCUAACGUUGGCCCCUUACCGGGGUUGCGGACAGUGUCUGGUGGGUAGUUUGACUGGGGCGGUCUCCUCCCAAAGCGUAACGGAGGAGCACGAAGGUUAGCUAAUCCUGGUCGGACAUCAGGAGGUUAGUGCAAUGGCAUAAGCUAGCUUGACUGCGAGCGUGACGGCGCGAGCAGGUGCGAAAGCAGGUCAUAGUGAUCCGGUGGUUCUGAAUGGAAGGGCCAUCGCUCAACGGAUAAAAGGUACUCCGGGGAUAACAGGCUGAUACCGCCCAAGAGUUCAUAUCGACGGCGGUGUUUGGCACCUCGAUGUCGGCUCAUCACAUCCUGGGGCUGAAGUAGGUCCCAAGGGUAUGGCUGUUCGCCAUUUAAAGUGGUACGCGAGCUGGGUUUAGAACGUCGUGAGACAGUUCGGUCCCUAUCUGCCGUGGGCGCUGGAGAAUUGAGGGGGGCUGCUCCUAGUACGAGAGGACCGGAGUGGACGCAUCACUGGUGUUCGGGUUGUCAUGCCAAUGGCACUGCCCGGUAGCUAAAUGCGGAAGAGAUAAGUGCUGAAAGCAUCUAAGCACGAAACUUGCCCCGAGAUGAGUUCUCCCUGAGACUUUAAGUCUCCUGAAGGAACGUUGAAGACGACGACGUUGAUAGGCCGGGUGUGUAAGCGCAGCGAUGCGUUGAGCUAACCGGUACUAAUGAACCGUGAGGCUUAACCUUACAACGCCGAAG
RNAcentral lists this ribosomal RNA (2922 nucleotides) under Klebsiella pneumoniae. Its description in RNAcentral is "bacterial LSU rRNA". It matches the Rfam family "Bacterial large subunit ribosomal RNA". The record is from RNAcentral. Lineage: Bacteria; Pseudomonadati; Pseudomonadota; Gammaproteobacteria; Enterobacterales; Enterobacteriaceae.